UACGUAGGGACCAAGCGUUGUUCGGAUUUACUGGGCGUAAAGGGCGCGUAGGCGGCUUAACAAGUCACUUGUGAAAUCUCCGGGCUUAACUCAGAACGGCCAAGUGAAACUGUCAAGCUAGAGUGCAGAAGGGGCAAUCGGAAUUCUUGGUGUAGCGGUGAAAUGCUUAGAUAUGACAUAGAACACCAAUUGCGAAGGCAGCUGGCUACACAAUUAUUGACACUGAGGCACGAAAGCGUGGGGAUCAAACAGG
Molecule: ribosomal RNA, 253 nt
Filed under: uncultured bacterium
Lineage: Bacteria
Description: partial 16S ribosomal RNA
Rfam family: Bacterial small subunit ribosomal RNA
Source: RNAcentral